RNAcentral lists this long non-coding RNA (3608 nucleotides) under Fukomys damarensis (Damara mole-rat). RNAcentral's name for it is "lncRNA (ENSFDAG00000027342.1)". Lineage: Eukaryota; Metazoa; Chordata; Mammalia; Rodentia; Bathyergidae. The record is from RNAcentral.
CCGGACUGUUGGGUGUGAAUGGAAGAUGCCGUUUGUGUGGGGACUGGCGGGCGGCGGGGUCGUAGCCUCAUGAGCCUUUUCCUCUCCUGUGCCGCUCCAGCUCGGGCUGCUUCCCAACCUCCCGACCGCACGGCGCUGCCUGGGGUGCUGGUGGGGUCAGCGGCCUUCUGCAAGGACCCUUGGAACUGCCAAAAAGCUGGGGAGACGGGCACAUCCGCCUGUGUGCACAAUUCUGAUUGGAUCCUGGGAGCUCAGAUCUAACGCACCUGCUGGUGGCAAACUGGAAGAAACAGAAACGACUUCUCAAGGUGACCGUGUGCGGUGGAGCUGGAUGUCUCACCCUGAAGCAGCCCUUCCAGCCCAUCCUCUGUGAACUACACAAACUCAAGUCACAGUGUUUUGGACAGAAGGAAGUCAAAGAGCCCUAAAGCAGGACCCCGGCUUCAGGGACCCCGAAUGGAGGAGGGAGAGCCCCGGAGGCUGUGAUGCACCUGAGAUCAGUCCGUGUGGUCGGUGGUGAGAAUCAGCGUGACCCCCCAGGGUUGCCAUAGCACCUGGCAGCGACUAGCUAUUAAAGUGUGAUAGACAGGACACAGUGGAAGGACAGACGGAGAAAUGGACCGGGGAAGGGAGGGAAGGAGACAGGCAAAGGAGAAGGAGGGAGAGAAGAAGGAGGGAAGAGAGGCAGGGGACGAGGAAAGCAUCCGUCACGUUGAACAGUGACCGUUUGGUGCCGGAUAAGAAGCGCGGUUCUUUCUGGUGCAAAAGAAUCAAGAGGGAGAUUUCCCCAUGUGACGCACAUUCUUCACGUAAACCGCGCUUCUGAGUUGCUCAGAGUUGGAGGGAGAGGGGCCAGACGUGACUUUUACAGUCAUAGGACAAUGUCCCUGUCUUUCUACUGUUCUGUUUCCACCACCCUUCGCCUCCUUCCUGGUCUGUGGCCCAGGGCCCUACAAGUCUGAAUACGCAGGGGCGCUUCCUGUCCGUGCAGGUGCAGAUGAAACCGGCCCUUGGAUAUUUUCAUUGUUUCUCCGUGGCGCUCUAAGGUUCGGACCCCUUCCUGCUCGGAGCCCUGCGAUUGCCGCGUCCUGCGGCGGCGGAGCGCUCUCGGGCUCAGCGUGGUUUGAGUGGGGGUUAAAGGAGCUCGCUGCUCACCGCCCCUAGCUUUCAGAGGCGGGUAGCGCGCAAGCUGCCGGUGGUCUCCAGUUCUCCUUCGGUUCUCCUUCAGCUGCUGGCCCAGGAGCACCGCGUCUCACACGGUGCGUUUCAAAGCAGUCCAUGUUAAAGAAGAGCCGGAAGGUCCGCUGCGCCCCCGCGGGGNNNNNNNNNNNNNNNNNNNNNNNNNNNNCACCCAGCGCCCCGGCCCCCCUGGCCCAGGGCUCGCCCACGCGGGCCUCCCGUUCAGAGGUUACAGUGCUGACCUGUCUGCAGCCCGGGCCCACUGGACGCCACCGCCCGUGGGGUUUGUAGCACCUUCUCAGGGCGUUGAGAAGUAGGCGGGGAUUUAUCUAAAACUUGACCUUGCCGAGCACCUGCACUUGAUGUGUUCCCGUCAUUGGCCUCGCUGUUCACAUCGCCAUGGCCUCUUCGCAUCACAGUUUUCACCCCCAAAACAAAGCAGGAAAGUGCCUCGGUGUAGAGGGCGGGCCUUCGGGGGACUCGUCUGGGCCGCAGUUCUGUUCUGCCCCUUUCUGGCGGUGCAGGCCCGAGCUCGUUACUGACCUGCAGGUCUCAGGGUCGUCAUCAGUAAAGUAGAUGUGCUCUUCCCGGGUGCAUUGUGGGGAGUGAAGCGGUCGUGCGUGGGAAACUCAUUGCCCGGAGGUCACUAGGACGAAGCAGUCGCUGACUCUCUGAGGCGUCUUUUCACGGCUUAGCCACGGCUCCUUUGCAAGCAGAGGGUUCGGCCACACCCACUAAGGGGUGUGAUUAUGUGUUUUGGGUUUGCCAGCGUGCGGGACAGCUGGCUUGGAGGGGAGGGCUCAGAGUUGGGUCCCAGGUGCUGUGCUUCCGUGACGGUCUUUCAUGAGGGUGCCUAUUUCCCAUCAACCAGACCACGGUGUGGGCUGCCGUGGCUCUUGGUGGGUGCGUGCGAGCUCUGCCAAACGCUGAGCCUGCAGGAACGGUAGAAAGUGUGUCUCAGAGAGAAAGGCCGACCAGCGACGGUCCCCUGCACGCAGCGAAGGCCACACUUGGAGAAACUGUGAGAACGUGAAGCUGUGAUGAGCUCAAAGAAGCCAGAAUGUUCCGUUUAUUAAAAAGGCAAAUUUAUAUAAUUGUUUCUAUGUAGAUGCACAUACAUGUAUUUGUACAACUGCUGUUAAAAAAAUGUUAUACGUGCAAUUGUUUUGUUUUGUUGGUUAUCUAGCACCGCAGAUGACAGAAUCCAAACGUCAUCAGUGGGAGAUAACACCCUAGGUGUCUAUGGACCUUCUCGAGAGAAAGAAUUAUCUUGGACGAGGAGUCCGGUCCGGUAGAAUGACUAACCGAAAAGUAACCUUUCAAUGUGGGGAAAUUGCAAGAUAAAUAUAUAGGAAAGGAAUUUAAAUGUCAUACUGGUGGAGGGAAGAAAAAAAUAUCUGCCUUGAGAUUUUUGAACAGCAAAUUGGUUCUAACAAAUAUUUAGGGAAUUGCAAUGUUACUGUGCACUUGAAAAAAUGUUUCGGCAGACAGUUCGAAGUGGUCUGGGUUGGGAUGGACCUGGAUAUGUGUUUUCUGGAAGGACUCAGCUUCCAGCCAAUCCUUCCAUGAUUUCAGGACAUCAACAGUUUUAAGGAAUAGUCUCAAAAUUGGAGGUGAUAUAAUAUGAAAAAAGAUGCACCAUGCGUUGGUUGGAUGAUGUAGGGUAAAUGCACAACAUUAUUAAAAUGAAUUUUUAAAAGAUAUUUGAAGAUGGGCCAAGUAUGGUAGUGCACACCUCUGAUCCUAGCAAUCAGGAGACUGAGGCAGGAGGAUCACCAUGAGUUCAAGGCCAGCCUGGCCUGCACAGUGAGUUCAAGGCCAGCCUGGCCUGCACAGUGAGUUCAAGGCCAGCCUGAACUACAUAGCGAGACCCUGUGUCAAAAAACAAAACGAAGUUUAAGGUGGGAUCUUUUGGGUAGAUUGAAGCAAAAACUUGAUAUUGUAUGAGAUGAAAUUCUUAUCUUACUGAAAUAAAACAGUUCAUAAGGGAAUUGAGUACAAAGUGACAUUAUAUUUAGAGCUGCAAAUGCAUUUUAUAAAAUACAGUGAUACAAAAUUACAGAGGAGUAAAUGCUGCCACAGAAUUUACAAAAUGACCAGAAUAAAAGGUACUGAGGAUAUCCGAAGUUGAAAAGGUUUCACAGGAAAGGUGACUGAAUGUAGUAGACUUGCAUAAACAAAGUGAGAUAGAAAGUGAAAGUCAUUAUUUGGCCCUUGGAGCCUUGCAUUUGAAAUACUUUCAUCCGAAACAUUCUUUCAUCUAUGAAAACCAAGGUUAAUGAUUUUUCUUUUUUGCUUGCAACAUUCCUAUAUUUUUCCUCUGUUCUUUAUUUCAGUUUUUAGAAUUUUUCUAAAUUAAACUAAUACAUGUUUAUAGCAUUCCUUUAUCCUGUGCUACCCAGACUAUUAGAAUUAUACAAUAUUUCUCA